AUUAAGUGACCUGUUUCUAAUAAAGUAUAAACUUCAUCAUCGCUGGAUAGCUUUUACCUUAAACUGUAAUGCCAUAACCUUUGGACUGCCGAGAUUCUAGAAAGAUCCAUAAAUCUACUUACCGUGAUAGUCUGGAUAGGACUCUACAAAUAGGAGAAGUUAAAAUACUCUGACAAGACUUGAAAGAGUACGUCACUAAUACCUAAACUGUCAUGAUUAAGUCAUACAAAUUGAUUAAGCCUUGCUUAUUGAGAUGACAUCAAAACUCUAGUAGAAUCUUUUUUGACACCGCCAACACGAACAGGACUGCAACAACUUCAAUAAAGCAAAAAAUAACAGAGAACUCACACCUUCAUCGAAGCCACCUCAGUUAGGAUGGAUGUUCAUUAGAUGUGGAUUAACUACUCGCCGGUCAGAUAAAGUACGAAGACAAAUUUAAAAUAAUCUUUUGUUUUGCCAACGACGUGAUGCCGUGCACUCUGAAGUGGGUCAAUCGAGUUAUAGCGAUGGAAAAUAAGCGGCGGGUUCUCCAAGGGUCUUUCCACGUAGAGAAAAUGGAAUAUUGAUAAAAAGAAAGAAAAAAAGACUCGAUUCCGGAAAACAAUUAGAAAGCAAUAAGAAAACAGCCCUCCCCAAAAAGAAAAGCUGAGAAAUUAUUAAAUGGUGUUAGACAGAUCAUCGUAUAUCAUUUCGGCUUUCAGGAAAUAAAUAGUCGAGCUUCUGGCCAACACAAAGAACAAAACAAGAAUUAUUUCGGGCAUCACUCGGACGAAAAAAACAGCGAAAAGUCUGGGUACACACGAACGCUUAAGAGUAAUUUAUCUUUAUAGCUUUGGAGCAAACGUAAACGCCAACUUCACCUAUCGAACGUGCUAAGCAGGAAUAUCAACCAGAUCUCACCCAGAUGGGAAUGCCUUGACAGCGCACGAAAUAGACAGCUGCCAUAAAAGAAACGAUUCUGCGCAUUUAUUUUAGGGGAAUUCCCAAACCUUACUGUAACGGAGCAAAUGGUGGCUGACCAAUACCGUAUAAUUAGCCAAAACGGACUUAUCCCAGAGACACGACGCAACACAAUUCAAAAUUUUAUAGAAAUGCUAAUUAGAAGUCAUCGGGAUCGUGAAGAACAAACUGGGCCAAAAGAAGAAGUGCUUCCUGUAGAAAGAAUGGGCCUACCAGAACUAACUACUCAAGAAUCCGGACCAAACGAUCGAAGUUCUCGAAAAUAAUCUGGAGUAUAAUGGAAUUUAGAAGAUCCAUGAUAGAAUAUGCCGGCUCUGACCCACUUAAAAGGCCCACACUACAAUGCUAAGCUCAACGAAAAAACUUGGAACUAUGAUAGAUACUCAAGCCUAGAUGAACGACACACGAUAACCAGAUGGUUGGGUAAAAAGCUUAGGGCAAAACCCCAAAAAGAACAAGUUAGAAAAAAGUACCAAACACCGGUGUGGGAGAAACGACUGCAAAAAAGAUAGAGUAUAUUCGAGGAGAUAUUGGGCGACUAACUCAUGCAGUAGUCGCCCAAUGCAGUAUGCAGCGGGAACUAGAACAAAGAAAGUGCAAAAGAAGAGUCGAGCAAAUAAUUUCUGAGAACAGCAUAGACGCCCAAUAUAUCGCAAAAAACACAUCUGUCCAACACUGCCUAGAUACACUCAAACAAAAACUUAGUAUAUAUACUGCUCGUUUAAAACGAUACAAGCAAAGUAAUAAAAGAAAAUAAGAUAAGGCACUUUUCAUCAAACAAAAAAAGACAUUCUUUCGUAAUCUUAAUUCUAGACACCUGAUAACUGCAGAAAACAAUACAUAUCCUACUAAAGAAGUUAUUCAGCAGUUCUGGAAAGACCACCUUAAAAUAUCGGCACAAUGCAAUCAACGCGCCUUUCUUCAUUAAUCCAAGCGUUGGAUUAAUGAAGAAAGAGAAAGUGUCGCUAAUGUCCCUGAAAUGAAACAUAAUCCCUUGAUAACCAAUGAAGCCACAAAUAUUAUAAAAAAUGCAUACAAUUGGAAAUCACCGGGACCUGAUGGAAUACACAAUUUCUAGAUAAAGCAGUUAGGGUGUCACACACGACCAAUUAACGGAGUUUUUUAAUGACAUAUUGAUUUACACAGCGAUCCACUUAUCUUCUGCCCUUAAUAAACAGUAUCCCGCAAAAUACCGCCUAAUUACCUGCUUGACGAUGUAUAAGAUUCUUACUUUGUGUAUUGCCCAGAGGAUCUACGAGCAUUGCGAACACAAGCAAAUUAUUGCAGAUGAGCAAUAGCAACUGAUCAUUGACUCUACGAUAGCGAUGACCUUAAACUACUGGCAGCCACAAAACAUCAACUGAACCAAAUGCCUAAAAUCUUUGAUGAAUUUUCCAUAUACAUUACCAUGAAUUUUGGGAAGGAAAAAGUAUCGAACUCUUAUCCAAAAGGAAUAUCCAAAAAGGUAAGGUUAAUCAAGGUGAUUUUCAGAUGAAGAAUAGAAACUGGAACCAGUCAAUGCAAGUAGGGGAGACUUAUACUCGUAAGUACUGAGGGGUUAAACAAGCACAAAGAAUCGAUCAUCGGACCAUGAAAGAAAAACUUAUAACAGAACUUCAAGAAAGGAUGAGACGGGUUCUACGUACUAGACUUAAUAGCAAGAAUCUUCCUAAGACAAUUAACACAUACGCCUGUUUAGUGUUGGGCUACUCAUUUAGUGUAAUUACAUGGAUAAAAUGGAUAUUGCCAAACAAAGAAAAAUGAGAACCCUCCUUACCAAGUAUAAAUACCAUCAACCCAGAAAUGCGGUUGAGAGAACCAUGCAUCGUGGUAUGCGAGGGAGGAAGAGGAUUUUUUGAUCUAGAAAAGCAAUUGGAGCAACAAAUUAUUAAUUUAAGAAAUUAAUUUUUUAAAAAGUUUGUGGAUUCAUCUCACCAUGCAGCUAUUUGCCAAAUAGACGAGUUUAGCCUUAAACUUAAACUGAAAAAUAAAGAAAAUGUAAUCAACCAUCAAACAACAAUUGACCAACAUUAACGAGUUCAUGCAAGAACAUGUUGACAAAUGUUCGUCAAAUUAUUAGCCGAUCUCAGGACAAAUGUUUCGCGAAACAAAGGGUUCACACCUUAAGUUUUGUAAUUUUCGAAUUUGUUUAGUUAACUAUGAAGCUCUAAGUUGCUCGUUGCUUUAACUUUACGAUAAGACACGUGAAUAUUAAAAAUGAUACUAAUUAGAUAAAUAAAAAAUGUUAACUUUUUUCUCUACAUUACGUUCCCAAAAAAUUUUAUGCCAUGCAAGCCCCUGUAAAUCG
Molecule: long non-coding RNA, 3268 nt
Organism: Anthonomus grandis grandis
Lineage: Eukaryota; Metazoa; Arthropoda; Insecta; Coleoptera; Curculionidae
Exons: 7
Source: RefSeq, a predicted model, not a curated record